This 1233-nucleotide long non-coding RNA is filed under the name Linum usitatissimum (flax). RNAcentral's name for it is "long non-coding RNA (LUSI_LNC002233)". Lineage: Eukaryota; Viridiplantae; Streptophyta; Magnoliopsida; Malpighiales; Linaceae. The record is from RNAcentral.
AUCUCUUUCAUCAGCCUUCAAACAUAUCUGUCAAAACAUUGAUAUAAUCCUUUACUAAGAGCAGAAGCUCUACAAUAUUAAUCAAGAAACCAGGAAGGCAGGAAGAAAUAAUGACACAAAUGAUGUACUGCAGAUCAAACUUCACCUGAUAGGCAAAUACGGUCCUCUGAUCUCGCUCAGGAUCAGCUUCAGGCUCUGUACCAUCCUCCUUUUUCCUUCUGCAAGCAAAAUUUAAGAGGAAGCAGAUCUUAACAUUUAGUUUGGUGGAAAAUUGUUCCCAUAAUGCAAACAAAAGCCAGAAAAUGAACGGCAAUUGGUAGCAAAAAGAAUAUAUUUCUCCUCAGAAUGAGAAACUGGUAAUUGAUCAUGGUGACGUUCACUGGAUUGGGUCAUGGUAGAGAACUGAACACAAAAAACGGUAACAUUUGUUACAGCAAGUCGAUGGAGGUUCCACCUUUAAAACCCAACCUGGGAGUAGGUAAUCUUAGACCAAGCAUUCAUUACAACAUGCAACGUCCAAUUAUGGAUAAAUGGAGUAGUACCUUCUAUAAUAACAUAAUCUUAUAGGGACAGAGCACCAUCAACCGUAUCAAUGGCAAAUUGGCAAUACCAAGGACCUAAUUGCAUUAGUCUGAAAACUGUUAAUAACUUGUAUCCAGAGUAGAAGAAAUACGACAUCUAUGAAAUGAAACCAUUAGUGGGCAGAGAUAUUUGGAUCGAUAAAACAAAAUAACAAAGUGAAGGCAUAUAAAGGGCACAUGGGAUUUGAGAUCAAACAGACAACCACAGAAGGGUAGAUUGAAGCCUAAACUCUACGAAGCACAAGUAACACAUGAAAAAAGGUUAAGAACCAGUACAUUUUAGCAUAGGUAUAAGAAACUCAAAGUACUAACUGUGGAACGCAAAUUAAACACACAUAAUUCACAAUUGAACUGCAUUAUCAAGAAUACGACGAGACCCAUGAAUUAAGGAUUAUGACAAAGACCAAAGGAGCAUUUCAAAUUACAUCCAGCAGAACAAAACCAUAAGUGAGAGCAUAUAACAAACAGAUGUAUGAACUAAGAAGCAUGAAACAAACCAGAGACUAGAGGGCAUUGCCUAAAGCUAUAAAACUCUAAACAGCUUAAGUUCAUUGCUGUUAUCUAUCCUGCAAAAGAAAACUGUAGGUCAUUCUUCCAGCCCAAUCAAUAAUGUGUUCUCGAUAAGCAUCAGAAGAUGAUUUGUUUGUCUUAA